AUGCCCGAAGGGUGACGAAGCGACGCCGCGUGAGUGAGGAAGGCCCUCGGGUUGUAAAGCUCUGUCAGGAGUUAAGAAAUGUAAGUGUGUUAAUACCACAUUUAUUUGACGAAGGCUCCAAAGGAAGCCACGGCUAACUCUGUGCCAGCAGCCGCGGUAAUACAGAGGUGGCAAGCGUUGUUCGGAAUUAUUGGGCGUAAAGAGCACGUAGGUGGGUUUGUAAGUCAGAUGUGAAAGCCUUCUGUUCAACGGAAGAAUUGCAUCUGAAACUGCGAGUCUUGAGUGUAGGAGGGGAGAAUGGAACUUCUGGUGGAGCGGUGAAAUGCGUAGAUAUCAGAAGGAACGCCGGCGGCGAAAGCGAUUCUCUGGCCUAUUACUGACACUCAGUGUGCGAAAGCUAGGGGAGCAAGCGGGAUUAGAUACCCCGGUAGUCCUAGCCGUAAACGAUGGGCACUAAGUAGAGGGG
RNAcentral lists this ribosomal RNA (466 nucleotides) under uncultured Planctomycetales bacterium. RNAcentral describes it as "bacterial SSU rRNA". It matches the Rfam family "Bacterial small subunit ribosomal RNA", at positions 371 to 828 of the family's 1533-position model. Lineage: Bacteria; Pseudomonadati; Planctomycetota; Planctomycetia; Planctomycetales. The record is from RNAcentral.